This 497-nucleotide ribosomal RNA is filed under the name uncultured bacterium. Its description in RNAcentral is "partial 16S ribosomal RNA". It matches the Rfam family "Bacterial small subunit ribosomal RNA", at positions 28 to 507 of the family's 1533-position model. The record is from RNAcentral.
GAUGAACGCUGGCGGCGUGCCUAAUACAUGCAAGUCGAGCGAACAGACGAGGAGCUUGCUCCUCUGACGUUAGCGGCGGACGGGUGAGUAACACGUGGAUAACCUACCUAUAAGACUGGGAUAACUUCGGGAAACCGGAGCUAAUACCGGAUAAUAUAUUGAACCGCAUGGUUCAAUAGUGAAAGACGGUUUUGCUGUCACUUAUAGAUGGAUCCGCGCCGCAUUAGCUAGUUGGUAAGGUAACGGCUUACCAAGGCGACGAUGCGUAGCCGACCUGAGAGGGUGAUCGGCCACACUGGAACUGAGACACGGUCCAGACUCCUACGGGAGGCAGCACUAGGGAAUCUUCCGCAAUGGGCGAAAACCUGACGGAGCCAAGCCGCGUGAGUGAUGAAGGUCUUCGGAUCGUAAAACUCUGUUAUUAGGGAAGAACAAAUGUGUAAGUAACUAUGCACGUCUUGACGGUACCUAAUCAGAAAGCCACGGCUAACCACGUG